Molecule: non-coding RNA, 666 nt
Filed under: Pongo abelii (Sumatran orangutan)
Lineage: Eukaryota; Metazoa; Chordata; Mammalia; Primates; Hominidae
Source: RNAcentral
GGAGCGCCUCUGACUGACUUCCCCCAUGUGUCCGUGUGGCCACACCGUGCUACUUUCAGAGGCAGUGGGCUUUUCGCUAAGCGAUAAAAAGAAGUAAAACCUUGCCUUUAGCGCAGCUCUCCAUCACUGGGCAGAUUGCUCUCCCUCCCCACUCUCCCAGGCCCAAAUUGGAUCUCAGCGCCUGGGAGCUCCAACUGCAGCAAGUGCAAAAUCCUGUCUUCGGUUUUGGAAUUUUCAUCCGCACAGACUAUAUCAGCCACGGAUAGGAUACGUGAGAAUACUAGCAUGUCAAAGCUGGGAAUCAUCCUUAGGCAUCACCUAGCCAGUCCUGCCUCUCAUUUUAAGUGGGUAACCAGGAUGGAACUGUGGUGUUGCUUGCAGGAGAAGCUUACUACUGGUUUCUACUUCUCCAACCUCAUUGGUGGCUAUGCAGAGAAUAGACACCUUGAUGGCUCCUCUGGCAGUUCUUGAUGACCAUGGAUGAGCUAAUGGCUGUGGUCUCAAUGGUGGCUUCUUGAGAUGGUAUUGCCUCUGAAUUUGCUGAUUCAGAAGAUGUCAGACUCAUGUUAUCCUAUAGAAGAUGUAACAACCCAUAUACAUUUAUGAAAAUCAGGAACUACAUUAUUAUAAUGAUGAAAGAAAAGCCCAAGCAAUCAACCAACCUGA